CCUACGGGGGGCAGCAGUGAGGAAUAUUGGUCAAUGGACGCAAGUCUGAACCAGCCAUGCCGCGUGAAGGAUGAAGGCCUUCUGGGUUGUAAACUUCUUUUAUCUGGGAAGAAACCUCUGAUUUCUAUUAGAGUUGACGGUACCAGAGGAAUAAGCACCGGCUAACUCCGUGCCAGCAGCCGCGGUAAUACGGAGGGUGCAAGCGUUAUCCGGAUUUACUGGGUUUAAAGGGUGUGUAGGCGGGCUAUUAAGUCAGCGGUGAAAUCUCCGAGCUUAACUUGGAAACUGCCAUUGAUACUAUUAGUCUUGAAUUUUGUUGAGGUAGGCGGAAUAAGUCAUGUAGCGGUGAAAUGCUUAGAUAUGACUUAGAACACCAAUUGCGAAGGCAGCUUGCUAAACAAAUAUUGACGCUGAGGCACGAAAGCGUGGGGAUCAAACAGGAUUAGAUACCCUAGUAGUC
Molecule: ribosomal RNA, 460 nt
Filed under: uncultured bacterium
Lineage: Bacteria
Description: bacterial SSU rRNA
Rfam family: Bacterial small subunit ribosomal RNA
Source: RNAcentral